This 24-nucleotide non-coding RNA is filed under the name Mus musculus (house mouse). Lineage: Eukaryota; Metazoa; Chordata; Mammalia; Rodentia; Muridae. The record is from RNAcentral.
GAUUGAUUGUGAGUAUCUGCAUCU